GAUGAACGCUAGCGGGAGGCCUAACACAUGCAAGCCGAGCGGUAUAGAAUCUUCGGAUUUUAGAGAGCGGCGUACGGGUGCGGAACACGUGUGCAACCUACCUUUAUCUGGAGGAUAGCCUUUCGAAAGGAAGAUUAAUACUCCAUAAUAUAUUGAUUGGCAUCAAUUAAUAUUGAAAGCUCCGGCGGAUAGAGAUGGGCACGCGCAAGAUUAGUUAGUUGGUGAGGUAACGGCUCACCAAGACGAUGAUCUUUAGGGGCCUGAGAGGUGAUCCCCACACUGGUACUGAGACACGGACCAGACUCCUACGGGAGGCAGCAGUGAGGAAUAUUGGACAAUGGGUGCAAGCCUGAUCCAGCCAUCCCGCGUGAAGGACGACUGCCCUAUGGGUUGAAACUUCUUUUGUAUAGGGAUAAACCUCUCCUCCGUGAGGAGAGCUGAAGGUACUAUACG
RNAcentral lists this ribosomal RNA (453 nucleotides) under uncultured bacterium. RNAcentral's name for it is "bacterial SSU rRNA". It matches the Rfam family "Bacterial small subunit ribosomal RNA", at positions 28 to 484 of the family's 1533-position model. The record is from RNAcentral.